RNAcentral lists this ribosomal RNA (497 nucleotides) under uncultured bacterium. RNAcentral's name for it is "partial 16S ribosomal RNA". It matches the Rfam family "Bacterial small subunit ribosomal RNA", at positions 28 to 507 of the family's 1533-position model. The record is from RNAcentral.
GAUGAACGCUGGCGGCGUGCCUAAUACAUGCAAGUCGAGCGAACAGACGAGGAGCUUGCUCCUCUGACGUUAGCGGCGGACGGGUGAGUAACACGUGGAUAACCUACCUAUAAGACUGGGAUAACUUCGGGAAACCGGAGCUAAUACCGGAUAAUAUAUUGAACCGCAUGGUUCAAUAGUGAAAGACGGUUUUGCUGUCACUUAUAGAUGGAUCCGCGCCGCAUUAGCUAGUUGGUAAGGUAACGGCUUACCAAGGCGACGAUGCGUAGCCGACCUGAGAGGGUGAUCGGCCACACUGGAACUGAGACACGGUCCAGACUCCUACGGGAGGCAGCAGUAGGGAAUCUUCCGCAAUGGGCGAAAGCUUGACGGAGCAACGCCGCGUGAGUGAUGAAGGUCUUCGGAUCGUAAAACUCUGUUAUUAGGGAAGAACAAAUGUGUAAGUAACUAUGCACGUCUUGUCGGUACCUAAUCAGAAAGCCACGGCUAACUACGUG